Molecule: long non-coding RNA, 1005 nt
Organism: Orcinus orca (killer whale)
Lineage: Eukaryota; Metazoa; Chordata; Mammalia; Artiodactyla; Delphinidae
Exons: 3
Source: RefSeq, a predicted model, not a curated record
CCCAGCAGCCUCAGAAGCAGCGGAUUAAAGCUCCACAAUCAACUUGAUGUACCCUGCGUCUGUGGAAUACAUGAAUAGACAACGAAUCAUCCCAAAUUGAGGAGGUGGACUUUGAGAGCAAGAUCUAUGAUUUUUUCCCCUUUUCCUCUUUUUGUGAAUGUGUAUGUGUAUGCUUCUGUGUGAGAUCUUGUCUGUACAGCUUUGCUUCCACCAUUUGUCCUAGGGUUUUAUCCAUCCUUUUUUUCUAAAUAAUUAUUUUUUAAUUCAAUAACUUUAUUAUAUUUUACUUUAUUUUAUUUUACUGUAUCUUCUUUCUUUUUUCCUUCCUUCCCUCCUCCCUCCCUCCCUCCUUUCUUUCCUUCUUGCCUUCUUCUUUCUUUCUUUCUUCCUUCCUUCCUUCUCUCCUUUCUUUCUUCCUACUUCUACUAAUUCUCUCUACUUUUUCUCCCUUUUAUUCAGAGCCGUGUGGAUGAAAGGCUCCUGUGCUGUGCCUCUGAGGUGGGAGAGCCAACUUCAGGACACUGGUCAACAAGAGACCUCCCAGCUCCACAAAAUAUCAAAUGGCGAAAAUCUCCCAGAGAUCUCCAUCUCAACACCAGCACCCAGCUUCACUCAACGACCAGCAAGCUACAGUGCUGGACACCCUAUGCCAAACAACUAGCAAAACAGGAACACAGCCCCACCCAUUAGCAUAGAGGCUGCCUAAAAUCAUAAUAAGUCCACAGACACCCCAAAACACACCACCAGACGUGGAGCUGCCCACCAGAAAGACAAGAUCCAGCCUCAUCCACCAGAACACAGGCACUAGUCCCCUCCACCAGGAAGCCUACACAACCCAAUGAACCAACUUUAGCCAAUGGGGACAGAAACCAAAAACAACAGGAACUACGAACCUGCAGCCUGCAAAAAGGAGACCCCAAACACAGUAAGAUAAGCAAAAUGAGAAGACAGAAAAACACACAGCAGAUGAAGGAGCAAGAUAAAAACCCACCAGACCUAACAAAU